CUAGUACUACUCUCGCCCAAGCACGCUUGACUGCGGAGUUCUGAUGGGAUCCGGUGCAUUAGUGCUGGUAUGAUCGCACCC
This 81-nucleotide ribosomal RNA is filed under the name Arabis alpina (gray rockcress). RNAcentral describes it as "rRNA ENSRNAG00050208745". Lineage: Eukaryota; Viridiplantae; Streptophyta; Magnoliopsida; Brassicales; Brassicaceae. The record is from RNAcentral.